AUUGAACGCUGGCGGCAGGCCUAACACAUGCAAGUCGAGCGGAGGUAGCAAUACCUUAGCGGCGGACGGGUGAGGAAUGUAUCGGAACGUGCCGAGUAGUGGGGGAUAACACAGGGAAACUUGUGCUAAUACCGCAUACGCCCUGAGGGGGAAAGUGGGGGACCGCAAGGCCUCACGCUAUUCGAGCGGCCGAUACCCGAUUAGCUAGUUGGUGAGGUAAGAGCUCACCAAGGCGACGAUCGGUAGCUGGUCUUAGAGGACGAUCAGCCACACUGGAACUGAGACACGGUCCAGACUCCUACGGGGGGCAGCAGUGGGGAAUAUUGGACAAUGGGGGCAACCCUGAUCCAGCCAUGCCGCGUGAGUGAAGAAGGCCUUCGGGUUGUAAAACUCUUUGAGCGGGGAGGAAGGUCAUGCGGUUAAUAACCGUGUGAAUUGACGUUACCUGCAGAACAAGCACCGGCUAACUCUGUGCCAGCCGCCGCCGUAA
RNAcentral lists this ribosomal RNA (490 nucleotides) under uncultured bacterium. RNAcentral describes it as "partial 16S ribosomal RNA". It matches the Rfam family "Bacterial small subunit ribosomal RNA", at positions 29 to 523 of the family's 1533-position model. The record is from RNAcentral.